This 4227-nucleotide long non-coding RNA is filed under the name Mus musculus (house mouse). RNAcentral describes it as "predicted gene, 48485". The record is from RNAcentral. Lineage: Eukaryota; Metazoa; Chordata; Mammalia; Rodentia; Muridae.
CCGGUGAAAGGCUUCUCCUCUGCAGAUGACGGUGCUGCACUACCGAAGCUCAUGCUUGCAAGGCCAGGAAAGUCGUGGAUCCCUGACAAUGAGGGCAGUGGUUCAUUGUUGCUGCGGAUCACCUUUCAAAAUAACAACCCUAAACUAGAAACACAAAGUAAAAUGGUCCUACCGAUGUGAGGCUGUUCUACAGAGGGAAUCUCAUGUCCAGAUGGAAUCUCAUGUGAGGAUCUGGUUCCUGGCAGAGGAUCAAUUUCAAGGCUCUAAUGGGCCACCUCAAAAGUUUCCCUGCCAUUCAGAAGGACAACCAGGGCCUGACCCUGUGGCUGCUGUAUCAGUGUGGAGCAUCUGCCUAAAAUGGACACUAGCAUCUCUAGAUAAAGGAGAGGCUGGAGUGCCACACUUUUACUGCACACCCAACCAUUAAAACAACAGCCAACCAACUGUUGAGGUGUGUACACAAUGAUACAGGAUUCUGCACAGAGACUCCAUUCACAAAAUAGGGCCUCUUUCGUAGCCACCCAAAGCAGGCCGAUGCCUUCAGCCCCUGUACCCCAAGACCAAAUUACAGGCAUUUUUUAGGACACAUAAGCUGGUCCUUGUUUCGGUUCCUUACCCCAUUGUGUCUCCUAUCAAGAAAACUUUUCCUGUCAUUCCCAGAAUUGAAACUUGUUCCACAAUUCAGGGAACACAUGUGAAAAUAGGAUCUGGACCUCUCUGUCCUCUCGUCUCUGGACACUCUGGGUGGACCAUCUCUGGAAGAUCCUGUCCCAGCUGCAGAAUGGCAUGAGCUGUCCAUAUCUACAGAAAGAAACACUGGAGGCAAUAGAAUAUCCUGUCAAAGGCCAUUCUGCCCUUGACAAUGAUGUGAAGAUUCCGCUGUCUCCACAUGAACACACCCAGCAUGCCCCAACAUUGUGCUAUUGUCACUAUGGGGGCAAGAAGGAGAAGAGGACUAUGCAAGUAGGAUGCUGGAUGUCAAGAUAAUAAUAAUGAUUGAGUCACCCUCUAGUGAUGACGAUGAAGCUCAGGCUCUACACUUCAGUGUGAGAGCUCAGUGUUGUUUCUGGAACCGUGUCCACACCAACACCCAGAAAUCCACAGGUUUUGGAUGGUGGAUGCUUCUGACCCAACGGGGAGAGUGGAGGCUUGAGCACUUAAGUCCCUGCAGAUUUCUCAACCUGCCUGAACUCUCUGCUAAUCCAGUGUUCCAGUACUCUCCUACGGUGAGGCGAGAGAAGACCAGAGAUGUUUGCAACUCUGAUCCAGUCUAACUGAACUUCCAGUGCUCAAACACAGAGAGUGGACAGAGAUUUUCGAGGCCUCUCCAUGAAUGCUGUCCAGAAUCAAGCUAUGGGGGAGUUCAGUGUGGGAGACGUGCAGGACCUUGGAUGGAGUCUGGGAUCUAGAGAAUGAAAUGUAUCUUCAUUAGGGCCAGAAGACACAUGAGGAGUGGCCUAGUAGAUACAGAAGACACAGUGUCAUGAUGUGGAGUCCAAGGCCAAGGGAGGUUACUGAGAAAUCCAAUGCCUGUAUGAGUGAAGCUGGACAUGAACAGUGUGGAUGGACGUGGUCCCUUUCACUUCAAGCUGCAGUGUUAUCACCAGCUGCUGCAGAAGCCCAUGUCCCAGUAGACUAUCCUCUGACAAGAAUAUUAUGCCUUUUAAGCUCAUAUGAUGAUUUCUCUGUCUCCAUAUAGGAGACCAGGCCAUAAAAGGUGCUACUGUCACUGAGGAGACCGUAAUGAGAGGACUGUGACAGUGGGAGGCGUCAUGCAAAAGUGAUGUGAGGCUCAGAUGCAUCUGGAAGCUUUAUGGUGCAACCCCUUCUUCCCUAUUCAGACCUUCAUUCUAUGCUGGAGUCUUCCUAGUGACAGUCCUGUCACCAAAUGACAACAACUUCUCCCUGAUCAAUCUUGAGACUAAAGAGGCUAGAGGAGGGCCUCUACAGAUCAGUCAGUGGGUGUCCCCUGACCACUGCCACUGCAUUUUCUAGGGAUUGUGUUCUAUGUGUGGGAUGUAUGAGAGAGCUGGUCUCCCAGCUCUUGGGAUGCAGCCUGUUCCUCAUUUCCUGGACUGUGCCUGCUCCAGUCUUCCUCUUGCAUCAUGGAAGCCAUUCUUCCAGUCACAGGCUUGACUUCAUUCUUACCCACAAGGGGGAAGGGUGAAGAUUGGCUCUGAGAUGUGACCCCAGCUUCUAGACUGUCUAUGUGAGGUGGUAUUAUCUGAUCUUUUCUCAGUUGCCAUUCUAUAGUCACAGUGAUGUGCAAGGCUCUAGCUAGGUGCUAGAUCCCAGGAUCAUUAAUAUCAUGGACAACCUGUGCCCAAGAAGCUAACACACUGACACAGUCCAGGACAUCCAGGAAUACGAAGGUGGUGAGAUGUCCCCAGCUAUGGUUCUGACCUUCAGAAAAGCAGUCAAAGGUCAUGAGGAUUUCUGACAGAAUCAACACAGGCUGAUGCCUGUAAACCAAAGUCCUUUCCUGUUUGGAGCUGCUGAGUGUAGUCUGAACUGUGAGUCUGGACCUGCUCUCUCAGUGAAGGCACAACUUCUUGAACUCUGACUCUGAACUGUAGUUGUGGCUAAUGCUGCUUAUGAUCCAAAAAUCUAAUUCAGCAGUGAAAAUAUAAGCUUCCAACCUCUAACCUGGAACAUUCUGUCUCAAAAAGGACAGUGUGUACACUUGAAUGGAAAGACCAGAUCCUGGUGCUUUCCCACAAGAAGUUGCUGAAUGUGGCUACCUGGAAGGACAACCAAAGAGGGCUGCCAGAGAGGAGGCCACUACCAAUUAGUCAAGCAACCUCAUCUGCAUCAUCACAAGCAUCUGUAGUAUGGAGGUCUGGUAAACACGGUGUGGGCCUCUUCCUUCCCUGGAUGCCACCAUCAAGUGAGAUAUAGGUCGUUCACAUCACUGUGUGGACCUAGAAUUCCUCUGCAGGUCCUUUUACAGGAGUGGAGUCCUUCCCUCCAAGAGAGGUUAGCAACUGGUCAGACAUUCAGGCCAUUUUCUUUCUGCUAGCCUGUGCUUCUUUGAGUAGGUCCAAUUCAGUGCUACUAGGUCAUGCCUGUUCCAGUAUCCUGAACUCAGUGAGGAGGUUGGAUCAAGUGUCAAAGGAAUGAAGGUCAAGCUCUGGAUUUUAUCAGAGAGUCUGAGCAAGACCACUGAUGUUCUGGGAAAAACUUGACUUUUCAGUGGGAUCUUCAUCUGCUGUACAUAACCAACAACCUCUGCUGUGAUGAAAACCAGAGGAUGAUAAAAGGUGCUGCAGUUGGCAUGACUGCUGACAAGAGACACUCAGAGGUUCACUUCAAAUUCAAUAUUCAGAUUGUCUUCAUGGUCUUUCCUUAGUCUCCCCUUAGAGACAGAACUGAAAUUCACCCUGGACCACAUCUUUUACAUGCAGCCCCUUUGUAGGGAGGAGAACAAAGACCUGGAGAUGUCAUGCUGUUCACCUGUACAAACAGUGCAGAGGAGCAGGCAACCAACACCAGACCUUCUGGGUGCUAGGACCCUGUCACUAUCCAAGGGCUAUCUAGGAUGACUCUGUACAGGCGGUAUGGCAGAAGUUAAUUCUUUCCAAAAGAGCCUGACUGACAUAGUAAAGAGGGCUCCCACAACCUCCCUCUCGCAGUCUCCAUCAACUCUUGCAUGUCUCCUUGGCAACCACUUCAGAGAGUUUGUGAUUCUCCUGACAGGAGAGCUCCAGCAAAAUCUCGGACUUCAGUCUCAUGAUACUGAAGAGACUGUUCUAGCUGAUGAGGCCGGGCUUAGAAGAUGGACUACAGCCAAGAACCCUGGCCACCAUAACGACAAGUCACACCUUUAGGGAACACUUGAAAAGCACUUAUGCACAGUAGAAAAGUACAAGGAUUAAAGUCUCCUCAGGCAUUCCAGCAUAGAGAGAGUCUGACAGACUCAGGUCAGAGGUUACCUCCAAAUAAUAGAAGAGGAAGAAGGUCCUGCUUGACAGAAGAAGCCUGUGGCUGAGGCCAUUGCAACAAGGACUAUGACUGUGAAACUUGUUUCUCCGUGGAUACCGGUUUCAGAAAUCUUGUGCCCAGGUACCCACAGUCCUCCUCACAUACCUCAUUUUAUAGAACUUUGCAAGUCCUGACAUUCUGUCAUGUGCUUUGUUAUCCCACAUAGGGUAACAAAGAUUUUUACCCAUUUAAGAGUCUGGAAAUAGGCUGGACCCACUGUUGACAUUAAAGGUGCAUUUCUCUACU